AGAGAUGUAAGCUCAGUGGUAGAACAUCUGCUUUGCAAGCAGAGCAUUUCUGGUUCAAUCCCUGGCAACUCCU
This is a non-coding RNA of Podarcis lilfordi (Lilford's wall lizard), 73 nucleotides long. Lineage: Eukaryota; Metazoa; Chordata; Lepidosauria; Squamata; Lacertidae. The record is from the annotation of a GenBank genome assembly.